AGGGAAUGUUCACCCAUUCUCGUCCCAUGUGUGCCUGGUGAUUUGAUUAAUGUACACUUUAAAUGUUUUUUGAAUUUCUUGAAAAUGAAGAGGCACCAGUGUCUUUACAGCAAAGGCUGGACAAUGUGAAGUGUUGAGAAGAUUCCCAGUGAUGGCAACUGACCCCACCCAUUCCAUUCCAAGCCCGAUAAAUCUCAGCACCCCCGGAAGGAAGUGUCUCAUUUGGAAUUGAGCAGACUGCUAGGACAUGUGCGUCUUUCAAGACAGACCUCCUUGAAAGAGCUACUCAGGACAGGCCAGGAAGGCUAUACCCUUUUGUUGACUUCAAUUUUCUGUGCCAUCAUGUGCUUUUGACCAACCAGUUUGAAUUAAACAGAGUGAGCUAAGA
Molecule: long non-coding RNA, 388 nt
Organism: Erpetoichthys calabaricus (reedfish)
Lineage: Eukaryota; Metazoa; Chordata; Cladistia; Polypteriformes; Polypteridae
Exons: 2
Source: RefSeq, a predicted model, not a curated record